Non-coding RNA from Felis catus (domestic cat), 85 nucleotides. NCBI's taxonomy places the organism in Eukaryota, Metazoa, Chordata, Mammalia, Carnivora, Felidae. The record is from Rfam.
GCCUGGGUGGCUUGGUCGGUUAAGCGUCUGACUUCGGCUCAGGUCAUGAUCUCACGGUCUGUGAGUUCGAGCCCCGCGUCGGGCU